Molecule: ribosomal RNA, 468 nt
Filed under: uncultured bacterium
Lineage: Bacteria
Description: SSU rRNA
Rfam family: Bacterial small subunit ribosomal RNA
Source: RNAcentral
AGGACGAACGCUGGCGGCGUGCCUAACACAUGCAAGUCGAACGGAGCCCGCAAGGGUUCAGUGGCGAACGGGUGCGUAACACGUGAGGAACUUGUCCAUCGGCGGGGGAUAGCCGGCCCAACGGCCGGGUAAUACCGCGUACGCCGUCCGGAGCGCAUGCUCUGGCCGGGAAAGCAGCAAUGCACCGAUGGAGAGCCUCGCGGCCUAUCAGCUAGUUGGUGGGGUAAUGGCCUACCAAGGCGACGACGGGUAGCUGGUCUGAGAGGAUGACCAGCCACAUUGGGACUGAGACACGGCCCAGACUCCUACGGGAGGCAGCAGUGGGGAAUAUUGCGCAAUGGGCGAAAGCCUGACGCAGCGACGCCGCGUGUGGGAUGACGGCCUUCGGGUUGUAAACCACUGUCGCGAGGGACGAAGAUCUGACGGUACCUCGAAGGAAGCACCGGCUAACUCUGUGCCAGCAGCCGC